GUGCACAUGCGUCAGUGCUGGUUUUUGGCCAAGAUCUAUCGUUUCACUGGCGGGACACUGGAGUCAAGCUGUUCGGUUUAGCUAAGUCCCAAUGUGUCGAGAGAGAAAAAGGGAUGCAGUUGUUUGACGCCUCAUUGAGUACCUUGGGGAACAUCAAGAAGAUUUCAUCCAAGAUUGCUAGGCUGAAAAUGAGGACAACAUGGACUAAACCAUGAAGGUGCUUGUAAUCCAUAAUCCUGCAGCCAAGGAGCAUACAGCAGAUGUGUUGAUUGCGAUGGAGGGAAACAAAGUGCUGAACGUGUGUGGAA
Long non-coding RNA from Perca flavescens (yellow perch), 308 nucleotides. RefSeq lists it as uncharacterized. The record is from RefSeq and is a predicted model, not a curated record. The transcript has 3 exons. NCBI's taxonomy places the organism in Eukaryota, Metazoa, Chordata, Actinopteri, Perciformes, Percidae.